This 472-nucleotide ribosomal RNA is filed under the name uncultured bacterium. RNAcentral's name for it is "bacterial SSU rRNA". It matches the Rfam family "Bacterial small subunit ribosomal RNA", at positions 355 to 825 of the family's 1533-position model. The record is from RNAcentral.
UGGGGAAUUUUGGACAAUGGGCGAAAGCCUGAUCCAGCAAUGCCGCGUGAGUGAAGAAGGCCUUCGGGUUGUAAAGCUCUUUUGUCAGGGAAGAAGCGGUGAGAGCUAAUAUCUCUUGCUAAUGACGGUACCUGAAGAAUAAGCACCGGCUAACUACGUGCCAGCAGCCGCGGUAAUACGUAGGGUGCAAGCGUUAAUCGGAAUUACUGGGCGUAAAGCGUGCGCAGGCGGUUUUGUAAGUCUGAUGUGAAAUCCCCGGGCUCAACCUGGGAAUUGCAUUGGAGACUGCAAGGCUAGAAUCUGGCAGAGGGGGGUAGAAUUCCACGUGUAGCAGUGAAAUGCGUAGAUAUGUGGAGGAACACCGAUGGCGAAGGCAGCCCCCUGGGUCAAGAUUGACGCUCAUGCACGAAAGCGUGGGGAGCAAACAGGAUUAGAUACCCGCGUAGUCCCUGAGCGGGCUGGCAAGGCGCAU